UGAGGAAUAUUGGUCAAUGGACGAUAGCCUGAACCAGCCAAGUAGCGUGAAGGAUGAAGGCUCUAUGGGUCGUAAACUUCUUUUAUAUAAGAAUAAAGUGCAGUAUGUAUACUGUUUUGUAUGUAUUAUAUGAAUAAGGAUCGGCUAACUCCGUGCCAGCAGCCGCGGUAAUACGGAGGAUCCGAGCGUUAUCCGGAUUUAUUGGGUUUAAAGGGAGCGUAGGUGGACUGGUAAGUCAGUUGUGAAAGUUUGCGGCUCAACCGUAAAAUUGCAGUUGAUACUGUCAGUCUUGAGUACAGUAGAGGUGGGCGGAAUUCGUGGUGUAGCGGUGAAAUGCUUAGAUAUCACGAAGAACUCCGAUUGCGAAGGCAGCUCACUGGACUGCAACUGACACUGAUGCUCGAAAGUGUGGGUAUCAAACAGG
Molecule: ribosomal RNA, 424 nt
Filed under: Fusobacteriota bacterium
Lineage: Bacteria; Fusobacteriati; Fusobacteriota
Description: Fusobacteria bacterium partial 16S ribosomal RNA
Rfam family: Bacterial small subunit ribosomal RNA
Source: RNAcentral